AAUAAGUGUAGUUUUGCAUCGUUCGUGUCUAACGUUUGACCAUUUAUUUUAUUUAUUUUUUUAUAAUUAAUUUUUUUAUUGUUAUUAGAUGAUAAAAUAUGAAUAUUACUUUGUGUGUGACUAUUUUAUUUAAAUUUUUGUUAAAUAAGACGAACAGUCAAACGUUAGGCACGGAUAUCCAGAGCUACACUUAUU
This is a non-coding RNA of Oryza glumipatula, 195 nucleotides long. The record is from Rfam. NCBI's taxonomy places the organism in Eukaryota, Viridiplantae, Streptophyta, Magnoliopsida, Poales, Poaceae.